RNAcentral lists this transfer RNA (72 nucleotides) under Camelus bactrianus (Bactrian camel). It matches the Rfam family "tRNA". Rfam says of the family: Transfer RNA (tRNA) molecules are approximately 80 nucleotides in length. The record is from Rfam by way of RNAcentral. Lineage: Eukaryota; Metazoa; Chordata; Mammalia; Artiodactyla; Camelidae. RNAcentral also lists the same sequence under 2 other names.
GAGAGUAUAGCUCAGUGGUAGAGUUCGUGCUUAGCAUGCACGAGGUCCUGGGUUCAAUUCCCAGCACCUCCA